Molecule: long non-coding RNA, 895 nt
Organism: Solanum dulcamara
Lineage: Eukaryota; Viridiplantae; Streptophyta; Magnoliopsida; Solanales; Solanaceae
Exons: 2
Source: RefSeq, a predicted model, not a curated record
AUCUGGCCAAAAGUAUCACAUACCCGACCCACUCCACUUCAAAUUAUCCUAACCCAAUACUCUUCUCUUUCCCUUUUCCCAAAAAAAUGCACAACACACUCUUCACACACAUCUUUCAUCUCUCGUUUUUCAACGACAAGAAGCAGAAUCUAACCACUUGUGAAAAUUCCUCAAAAUCCGGUGGGAUUUGGGCUCAACCAUCUCCCUCAAAUCAAUUUGGGAGAAGGUAACCUCAUCCCUUUGUCAGCCUUUUUCAUCUACUUUUCUUAAUCUGUGAAAGACAUAAAGAAUUCAAAUAUUGAAUUCAAACAAGAUCUUGGAGUUCCCCUCUCAAACGGCUCUUUUUGAAAUUCAAAUUCACUAUUUUUGGCUAUAAAUAUCGCACUUAUUUUCAUUAGAAAGGGGGAGGGGAGAAGUGACGGAGAGUUUGGAAAAUAUUUGAGUUUUUCGCACUCUUGCAUUCACUACUUUUUCUAUUCUUCUUUGCUUUUUCUAGUUUCCUAGAUACUCACAUCACUCUUGCUAUCUCUCUGUUAUCACUCGCACUCAAAGUCGGUGUGGAAGCUCAUCCUUGUUAUAACUCAUUGUCCAAUUUGUUGCUCUGCGAAAGACACACAUAACUCUAGAUACAAGGGCAAGAAGAGCCAAGAAGGCAAAUUGAGCAGCCUAUUGCGCCAACGGUAAUGGAUGAAAGGGAAGAGGGCGGGAAGUUAACGCUUCUAGAAUGAAAGCUUUUCCUUUACUUUUUUUUAGAGCUUAUCGCUAUUUUGAAAUUGAAAAAAAGUUUUAUGUAUUCUUCUAUAUCAAGAAUGUGGUCUAAAAAUUUUGUGUUUAGUUUUAUCGACUCUAAAGUUUCUAUCUUCUGUAUUACGGAAGUCUAUAUUUGUCGCCGAAA